Molecule: long non-coding RNA, 561 nt
Organism: Pelodiscus sinensis (Chinese soft-shelled turtle)
Lineage: Eukaryota; Metazoa; Chordata; Testudines; Trionychidae
Source: RefSeq, a predicted model, not a curated record
CCAGCAACAGUUUUGGUGUUCAGAGGCUGUGUCUGAGGUGAGGGAAGAGCUGGGGAGCAAGCAACAGAAGAUAUCACAGCAUCAUACCCUAAUAUCCUGGUGGAAAAGGCCCAUUGUUCCAUCUGCAAAUGGUGGGGUUGGAUAGAUUUAAUCUUAGACUAUGAAGAACUAAAAGGUAGCACUGUCAAAAAAGUAUUACCAUGUUUUCCAUGAACCUGUUACUCAACAGAGACCCAGAGGAGCCACCCCUCCAGAAACUAUAUGGCCAAACAAGGAAAUGCUGAGUUAAAUCCUGACUGGGGUCUUUCACCCCUACUGUGUAUCUGACAUUUCCAUCAAGAAACCGGCUUGAGUGACAAGUGAUUUAAUGUUUUGUAAUGAUAGGCUAAUUUCUCAAAAAUUAUACUGAGGGCAAGGGUUCUAUGUAACAGGGCUGUGUGAAUGAAAAUGCCACAAUGGUGAUAUCACAUCCAGGUCACUAAGAUUACCACCUACAGACCUCCCAAAGGUGGAGACUAAAGAAUGAACUUCAUAGAUCUUGCUAUGAGUUCAUGUUACAGA